RNAcentral lists this unclassified non-coding RNA (307 nucleotides) under uncultured Entrophospora. Its description in RNAcentral is "uncultured Claroideoglomus sequence contains ITS2". Lineage: Eukaryota; Fungi; Glomeromycota; Glomeromycetes; Entrophosporales; Entrophosporaceae. The record is from RNAcentral.
AACGCAUAUUGCACUCUCUGGUAAUCCGGGGAGUAUGCCUGUUUGAGGGUCAGUAUAAUAUAAUAAUUAUCACGAUCUCACCGAUUGUGGAAUUGGGCUCUUAUUUCGAACAGAUUUAUGGCCUUAAAUUUACGCCAUGCGAUUAAUUCGAACCAAGCGGAGCAAUUAAACAUUCUCUCGUGGACGGAUUACUUGCAAGCCAUUACGGUUUUUGGACGACAAAGCACUCUCACGAGCGCGAAGCCCAAAGGACGUAAAUUAAUUGACAAAUGACCUCAAAUCAGGCAAGAAUACCCGCUGAACUUAA